CAACCACUCCCCUCCAUUGGAACAAAGCAAGAAAAAGAGAGAAGAGAAUCUGUUCAUUCAAUUUUGGUGAAGUAAAAACCAUAGGUGACAGAAAUUAAUGGGGAUGAUGGGCAAAAUAGCAAGCUCCAUAACCACCACAACAGGCAGCUGGAAAAAUACCAUUGUCACCGCAACAAUCAUCUUCGCCAUCCAUCUUUAUGCAAAGGUUUUCAGGCACAGCACAAUGCUCAAUAUUUACCAUCCAAAUCCUCGCAUCAAGGACAUGUCCAGUGCUGCUUUCGUCCCAUACUGUGUGGUGUGCCUCCAAGAAGUGAUGAAGGGCCAAAGGUGCCGAAAGCUGCCCAUAUGCAACCAUUGCUUCCAUGUUCAUUGCAUUGAUACAUGGUUCCAAUCGCAUUCUACCUGCCCUUUAUGCAGAACUAAUCAGGCCUCGUUUGUGCAUACGCAGGCCUCGUUUGUUCAUACGCACCAACUUCGUCUCCUCCGGAUCCAUCUUUUGUUCUCUUUCAUUUUUAGAAAAUUUUCUAGGGAAAAUGUGUAAUCCUCUGCAACUCUGAGAUUACCACUGGUAGAUGAUCAACAAAUUCAAGAGGUUGAAUAUCAUUUUUUUUCCCAUGUUCAUUAUUUCAGAUUCUAAUUUAAGGGAUUGAAUUUUAUAGUAUGAUAUCAUAUUUCAUCAGGGACAUAUAUUUUUGGUCGAAAU
This 703-nucleotide long non-coding RNA is filed under the name Prunus dulcis (almond). Its description in RNAcentral is "sRNA ncRNA". Lineage: Eukaryota; Viridiplantae; Streptophyta; Magnoliopsida; Rosales; Rosaceae. The record is from RNAcentral.